This 1230-nucleotide ribosomal RNA is filed under the name Clostridiales bacterium Marseille-P2986. RNAcentral describes it as "bacterial LSU rRNA". It matches the Rfam family "Bacterial large subunit ribosomal RNA", at positions 1558 to 2798 of the family's 2925-position model. The record is from RNAcentral. Lineage: Bacteria; Bacillati; Bacillota; Clostridia; Eubacteriales.
AAUUUAUGAUGAGGAUCGAAAACAAGUAGAGAAGUAGCCGAUUUCACACUGUCAAGAAAAGCCGCUAAAUAGAUAAAUGAUACCCGUACCGUAAACCGACACAGGUAGGAAAGGAGAGAAUCCUAAGACGCGCGGAAGAACCUUUGUUAAGGAACUCGGCAAAAUGACCCCGUAAGUUAGCGAGAAGGGGAGCCAGAGCGAUCUGGCCGCAGUGAAUAGGCCCAAGCGACUGUUUACCAAAAACACAAGUUUCUGCUAAGUCGAAAGACGACGUAUAGGAGCUGACACCUGCCCGGUGCUGGAAGGUUAAGGGGAAAUGUUAGCCUCAGGCGAAGCAUAGAACUUAAGCCCCAGUAAACGGCGGCCGUAACUAUAACGGUCCUAAGGUAGCGAAAUUCCUUGUCGGGUAAGUUCCGACCCGCACGAAAGGUGUAACGAUUUGGGCACUGUCUCAACAAAGGAUCCGGUGAAAUUGAAGUAAUGGUAAAGAUGCCAUUUACCCGCGACAGGACGGAAAGACCCCAUGGAGCUUUACUGUAGGCUGACAUUGGAUUUCGGUAGUACAUGUACAGAAUAGGUGGGAGGCUUAGAUCCUGGUACGCCAGUAUCAGAGGAGCCGAAAAGUGGGAUACCACUCCUGUAGUGCUGGAAUUCUAACCUUGAGCCGUAAACCGGUUUAGGGACACUGUCAGUUGGGCAGUUUGACUGGGGCGGUCGCCUCCCAAACAGUAACGGAGGCGUUCAAAGGUUCCCUCAGCACGGACGGAAAUCGUGCAAAGAGUACAAAGGCAGAAGGGAGCUUAACUGCGAGAUAAACAGAUCGAGCAGAUGAGAAAUCAGGACUUAGUGAUCCGGUGGUACCACGUGGAAGGGCCAUCGCUCAACGGAUAAAAGCUACCCUGGGGAUAACAGGCUUAUCUCCCCCAAGAGUUCAUAUCGACGGGGAGGUUUGGCACCUCGAUGUCGGCUCGUCUCAUCCUGGGGCUGAAGUAGGUCCCAAGGGUUGGGCUGUUCGCCCAUUAAAGAGGCACGCGAGCUGGGUUCAGAACGUCGCGAGACAGUUCGGUCCCUAUCCGUCGUGGGCGUAGGAAAUUUGAAAGGAGCUGUCCUUAGUACGAGAGGACCGGGAUGGACAAACCAAUGGUUUAUGAGUUGUAACGCCAGUUGCAUAGCUCAGUAGCUACGUUUGGAAAGGAUAAGAGCUGAAAGCAUCUAAGCACGAAGCCCCCC